This 497-nucleotide ribosomal RNA is filed under the name uncultured bacterium. RNAcentral describes it as "partial 16S ribosomal RNA". It matches the Rfam family "Bacterial small subunit ribosomal RNA", at positions 28 to 507 of the family's 1533-position model. The record is from RNAcentral.
GAUGAACGCUGGCGGCGUGCCUAAUACAUGCAAGUCGAGCGAACGGACGAGAAGCUUGCUUCUCUGAUGUUAGCGGCGGACGGGUGAGUAACACGUGGAUAACCUACCUAUAAGACUGGGAUAACUUCGGGAAACCGGAGCUAAUACCGGAUAAUAUUUUGAACCGCAUGGUUCAAAAGUGAAAGACGGUCUUGCUGUCACUUAUAGAUGGAUCCGCGCUGCAUUAGCUAGUUGGUAAGGUAACGGCUUACCAAGGCAACGAUGCAUAGCCGACCUGAGAGGGUGAUCGGCCACACUGGAACUGAGACACGGUCCAGACUCCUACGGGAGGCAGCAGUAGGGAAUCUUGCGCAAUGGGCGAAAGCCUGACGGGGCAACGCCGCGUGAGUGAUGAAGGUCUUCGGAUCGUAAAACUCUGUUAUUAGGGAAGAACAUAUGUGUAAGUAACUGUGCACAUCUUGACGGUACCUAAUCAGAAAGCCACGGCUAACUACGUG